ACCACCGUUCUUAAUCAGCUAGUGCUGAUUUCUUCUGCUGCAUCAGCCUGUGAUGAGGUGGUAAUGUACUGAACAGUAGCUUGAAUUCCUAAAUGCUCUUUUGGGGUAAAUUUAGUUCACGGCAUCAGCAUGAGCACAACACCUUUGCUGUAAACUGAUGCAAUUUGACAUUGGUGCUGGUUGUCUGCCAUCAACUGAAAACGUGGGCAUUUGGCACCAGUGGGCUCCGUAGUCUCUGUUCCCAGGGAUAUUACAAGUGUAUGGCAUCAUACAUUAUACCAUGCACGAGCUUUAAAAAUUGGAAUCGCAGUUCUUGGUUUUUGGUUCUGGGAAUAUACCAGGACUGUUCUAGAAGAAGUUGCUUUCACUUGAUUCUGGUUGUAUUCUGAGGUUUGGUUCUAAUGCAACUGAUGUGUGGGGUACUGCGCCAUGUUCUAUGCUAUCUAUGUGAGUUCUGUUUGGCUGAAAUCCACCGAACCGUGUGGAGAAACAGCUUCUCAUGAACAGCUUCCCAUCCUCUACUGAGCAGUGCCUACAUGGUAGCAUUACAAACCACUGCACAUAUUUGUGGCUUGCGUGAGUUAGGCCUUGGUUGGUUCCAUAGGAGCUGAACAGAUUUAAAAGUAAAGGGACACUGCUUACAUGGUGUUUGAACUGCUUUCUAAGGUUGCAGUGCCAAUUGAACUCCCUUGCUUGGAAGUUCCAUUGAAAUGGAAAUUCAUUCCUGUAUGACCUUCGUUAUGUAUUCCUGCCAAGAUUAAUUGACCUGAUUGAUGAUCAUAAGAUCUGAGCACUUGACUCAUGUUUACUUUGGUGGAACAUUAUGUAUGCCUGUUUGUUCUGAACCAUUUAAUUUAUAUGCUUAGCUAGAAUUUGGCGGCCCGAUGAUAAGGCUACUGUUUUAAUAAUCUUGCUAAACAAUCUAGAAUAUGAUAAUAUUGUACAUGGAGGAUUAAACAUAGUAUUUCUCCUGUUGUCCUGUAUAAUUUUUGCAAAUGGCUCCCUUAAAAGGAGUAUGUCAUAUAUAUAGUCAUUAAAAGCUUAACAUGCUU
This is a non-coding RNA of Podarcis lilfordi (Lilford's wall lizard), 1052 nucleotides long. Lineage: Eukaryota; Metazoa; Chordata; Lepidosauria; Squamata; Lacertidae. The record is from the annotation of a GenBank genome assembly.